Molecule: long non-coding RNA, 825 nt
Organism: Lotus japonicus
Lineage: Eukaryota; Viridiplantae; Streptophyta; Magnoliopsida; Fabales; Fabaceae
Exons: 2
Source: RefSeq, a predicted model, not a curated record
AUUAAGUAGUGGCUCAAAGGUAGCAGUUUUCAAAAAGCCACUACCUUAUCAUGUUUUUUUAUUUUAAUAAUUAGUGUGUAAGGGUUAAGGUAGUGGUUAAAAAAUCAACCGCAACCUUUAGGUAGGCAUGUGUAGUGGGCUAACUAACAAAACAUAGAUGGUGGGCUUUGGCACCAGGUAAAAAAUAAACCGCUACCAUAAAAUCGCUACCUAAGACUGAUAUUUUGAAAGAAAAAAAAAACAAGUUGAAGGUUUCUCAAACAGAUCGUGUCGCGCCCUAGCUGCUCCACAUCUUAGACGUGCACGGUUCUUUUCACUUCCAUUCUUCUUCUGCUCCGUACUCCGUCCAUUCGCUCCUUGCUGUUGCCGCCGUUGUUGCACGGUUUGUGGUUGCUUCUACCGUGGUUGCUGGAAGCUUGUUUCGAUCUCUGCCGUACUUCGCCUUUUGCUGUCAUUCGCAUUUUGCUGCUGCCGCCAUCGUUGUGCCAUUCAUCGUUGAUGUUGUCGUCUUCCAUCAUCGUUGUGUCAUUCAUUGUUGCUGCUGCCUUCUUCGCGCCCUAAUCCAGGUUUAUGGAGAUAGUGAAGUCUUUUGAAUUUUGAUGAGCAAGCUAUUGGAGAAUUUAGUGGUCUUUUUUUUUAUGGUCUUUUUUUUUUAUCGUACUUACUCUUUCAUGAUUAUAUGUGUAGGCGUAUACACUUAAUAUGUAUGUUUAUUUUAGCCUAUUUUGUUUGGCAACCUUAAAAAAUGAACUAUGUCAUGUUUUAAUUGUAUUUCAUUCUAGCAAAUAUUAUUACAUGAUAAUCAAGAUAAUUGGGAACUAUGUA